Molecule: ribosomal RNA, 406 nt
Filed under: uncultured bacterium
Lineage: Bacteria
Description: bacterial SSU rRNA
Rfam family: Bacterial small subunit ribosomal RNA
Source: RNAcentral
UGGGGAAUAUUGGGCAAUGGGGGGAACCCUGACCCAGCGACGCCGCGUGAGGGAAGAAGGUUUUCGGAUUGUAAACCUCUGUCCUUGGUGAAGAGAAGAAGACGGUAGCCAAGGAGGAAGCCCCGGCUAACUACGUGCCAGCAGCCGCGGUAAUACGUAGGGGGCGAGCGUUGUCCGGAAUGAUUGGGCGUAAAGGGCGCGUAGGCGGCCAUGCAAGUCUGGAGUGGAAGUCCAUUUUUCAAGGGUGGAAUUGCUUUGGAAACUGUGUGGCUGGAGUGCAGGAGAGGUUAUCGGAAUUCCCGGUGUAGCGGUGAAAUGCGUAGAGAUCGGGAGGAACAUCAGUGGCGAAGGCGGGUAACUGGACUGCAACUGACGCUGAGGCGCGAAAGUGUGGGGAGCAAACAGG